Non-coding RNA from Polaribacter atrinae, 37 nucleotides. NCBI's taxonomy places the organism in Bacteria, Pseudomonadati, Bacteroidota, Flavobacteriia, Flavobacteriales, Flavobacteriaceae. The record is from Rfam.
UUUAAUAAUCAAGGUCGAGAACCUUAAAAAAUUAACA